CAAUAGCGUAUAUUUAAGUUGUUGCAGUUAAAAAGCUCGUAGUUGGAUUUCGGUUAAGAGCGACCGGUCCGCCGUUUGGUGUGCACUGGUUGGUUUUAACUUCCUGUAGAGGACGUGCUCUGGGUUUAACGACCUGGACUCGGAGUCUACGUGGUUACUUUGAAAAAAUUAGAGUGCUCAAAGCGGGCUUACGCUUGAAUAUUUCAGCAUGGAAUAACACUAUAGGACUCCUGUCCUAUUUCGUUGGUCUCGGGACGGGAGUAAUGAUUAAGAGGAACAGUUGGGGGCAUUCGUAUUUCAUUGUCAGAGGUGAAAUUCUUGGAUUUAUGAAAGACGAACUUCUGCGAAAGCAUUUGCCAAGGAUGUUUUCAUUAA
RNAcentral lists this ribosomal RNA (375 nucleotides) under uncultured eukaryote. RNAcentral describes it as "partial 18S ribosomal RNA". It matches the Rfam family "Eukaryotic small subunit ribosomal RNA", at positions 592 to 976 of the family's 1831-position model. The record is from RNAcentral.